GUACGAGAGGACCGGAGUGGACGCAUCACUGGUGUUCGGGUUGUCAUGCCAAUGGCACUGCCCGGUAGCUAAAUGCGGAAGAGAUAAGUGCUGAAAGCAUCUAAGCACGAAACUUGCCCCGAGAUGAGUUCUCCCUGAGACUUAAAGUCUCCUGAAGGAACGUUGAAGACGACGACGUUGAUAGGCCGGGUGUGUAAGCGCAGCGAUGCGUUGAGCUAACCGGUACUAAUGAACCGUGAGGCUUAACCUU
Molecule: ribosomal RNA, 250 nt
Filed under: Salmonella enterica
Lineage: Bacteria; Pseudomonadati; Pseudomonadota; Gammaproteobacteria; Enterobacterales; Enterobacteriaceae
Also listed under: 1 other name
Description: partial 23S ribosomal RNA
Rfam family: Bacterial large subunit ribosomal RNA
Source: RNAcentral